UUGAUCGGGUGGCGAUCAUCUCACGUUCGAGAUCGAUUCCGUUGCUCACUAGGGUUCGCUUCGUGCCUCCCUCUCCGACCACCCCCGGAGUCCGUCGCUCUCUGAACCAGUAAAAUGUUUUCCAUCGUUCCUGAGGUCUUCUCGCUGCUCGUGGAACCGAUCUUGUUUUUGAGUUGUUCUCUGUGCUUGUUUUUUGGGCGUGGGGUUGGCUGGCCCUGAGGCUCCGGCUAAGGGCAAUUAUCGGCUAAGAAGGGUUAUAGUGAUUGAUCAUCUUGUCUUGUUAGCAAGUGAGAUAGGUGGGUUUCUUUUUUUGGUUUGGACUAAUUGCCUAUCAGUUACUGAUGCUUUAUGCAGAAUUCUAGCCUCAUUGGUUUGAAGCCAAAAUCAUUGGAUAGUGCUUCAAGUAUGGCAGUCUCCAUGAAGAAUGUUGAUUCCGCUUUCCAGGAAGCUGGGCAAACGCCAUAUCCUCACAAUGUUACUCUUAUUCUAGCUGAUUCUGUUAUUUGACCUUCCGAUGUUAUAUCUGUUCAAUCUGAGAUAUGCAGAAGAACGCAUGUAAUUGUUAAAAGCAGGGUGUAGUUUGCAUUUAGUUCAUCAUCUAUUUUCCAAACUUGGAAGAAAUUUUAAGGGAAACAUAGUUAACAUGAUUAAAGAAUCUGAGAACAGAACCGAUUGACUAGACCUACUCAACUAACAAAAUUUUAGAACCUAUUAUAUGUCUGACAAACUAUCUGAUUUGAAUUCAACAUGAUCUUGAAGAAGUGAAGAGUUUAACUCUUAUUAUCUGUUGCCUCGGAUAAAAUCCUUAAUGAAGUUUUGAGUUUAGGACUUGAAUCAGUUGUGGUAUUCUAGGCUCUGUUUUUCAAUGCUUAAUACCACGUUGAGAUGUUAGGUGCAUUGGUUGGUUGUUCAAUGAAAGACUUGCCUGAAGGAAGAAUCCUACGGCAUGUAGGAUGAGCAGAUCUGAGAUACAGACUGAGGAGAAGUAGACACUGGAUUGUGCAGACGGUAAUCAAGUAGAGAUUCACUUGCAGUUCUCAUCAAAUGAAUCAUCAACCUGGAGACUGUCAGAUCUGAUGCAGACUUAAAAAGCUGUAAUAAUGUAGUAAAAUUUUCCUGCAAAAUGAUCAUAAAAAAAUAUAGGUAUAUGCUUGUAUGCUGCAGCUCCUACAUCAAAAGCUGAUACAUGCUAUUGAAAUUUUGGCUUUUUGUUGCUGUCAUUGGCCCUUUAUGACUCUGCAGAUGGUGUUGUAUGCAGAUUUUGUUUCCUUUAGAACAAA
Molecule: long non-coding RNA, 1280 nt
Organism: Musa acuminata subsp. malaccensis (wild Malaysian banana)
Lineage: Eukaryota; Viridiplantae; Streptophyta; Magnoliopsida; Zingiberales; Musaceae
Source: RefSeq, a predicted model, not a curated record